CCACCAGCCUUGCUGCUGGACGCUAAUCAGCGUGUGGCUUCUUUUGAAGUUAGCUCUUCCACCUCUGAGUGGGAAAGCAUCCCUUCACCUCCAGAAGGCUAACACCUUCCCUGACACCUUUCCCUUCUGUGCUUUCCCUGCUCUCACGCGUGUGUCUCGUCUUCCCUGCUUUCACCCUGUGCAGGUGGCCUCUACCUACAAGGGUACAGCGUGAUCGAGCAAACCCACGGCUUUGAGCAACCGGUGAUUGAGCUCAGACCUUCAUCCGAGGAGUUCAAGACUUUCUACUUCUGUGCAGAAAAUAAAACAGAAAAUCAGCGCUGGAUUGCAGCUUUGAAAACAUCUAUCAAAAAAUGGCUUCCUUUGGACCAAGCUAUUCAGGAGUUCAUGAAUCGACCUCUAGAGGAGACCAGAAUGUGAAGAAACUAAAAAGACGGAUUCCAUGAGGCUGCUCCCAGCUUGAGGAAAGAGGCAAGGCAUUUCUCUCCAGUGUCCUGAAACACAGUUGUUCAAAUGAAUCUACUCCUUACGUUUGUAAAAACUUGGAGCAACUUCCUGAUAUCAGUGUUCGAGUGCUGCACUUAUGUCAAAGCCUCCACGACUUACAUUUGCAUCUGCAUAGCCUAGUCCCCUCUUUCUAGCCCUUGAAAGCAUAAAUAAACAUGUAUUUGUCUUAUUUUU
This 681-nucleotide long non-coding RNA is filed under the name Rattus norvegicus (Norway rat). RNAcentral's name for it is "long non-coding RNA NONRATT030331". Lineage: Eukaryota; Metazoa; Chordata; Mammalia; Rodentia; Muridae. The record is from RNAcentral.